Molecule: long non-coding RNA, 284 nt
Filed under: Elaeis guineensis (African oil palm)
Lineage: Eukaryota; Viridiplantae; Streptophyta; Magnoliopsida; Arecales; Arecaceae
Description: long non-coding RNA (EGUI_LNC033289)
Source: RNAcentral
AGGGUGGAUAACAAGCCACGUUAACCAUUGUAUUUUAUCGAUUCUUGAUUGCAUGCUAUUUAACAUGCAUGUGCUCCAAGAUUUACUCCAGUUCACUUGGACCUGGUGCAUCCAAUUUCACCUUAAUUUUUCCUGAUUAUUCUCUUCAAUCGCUUAAGCCUCCACCCGACGAAACUCUUUCACAUUUCUCAUGGAAACCCUAGCAUCCGUGCUUCCCUAUUCAGCCGCUGCAAGCUUCCCACCGGAUUGAGACUCUUAGACAGAGAAAACAUAGGAAAAAUCAG